AACGUAGGAGACAAACGUUAUCCGGAGUUACUGGGCGUAAAGGGCGUGUAGGUGGUUACGUAAGUCUGGCGUGAAAUUUUUCGGCUUAACCGGGAAAGGUCGUCGGAUACUGCGGGACUAGAGGACGGUAGAGGCGUGUGGAAUUCCGGGUGUAGUGGUGAAAUGCGUAGAUAUCGUAAGGAAGACCAGUGGCGAAGGCGGGUCUCUGGACAGUUCCUGACGCUGAGGCACGAAGGCCAGGGGAGCAAACGGG
Molecule: ribosomal RNA, 253 nt
Filed under: uncultured bacterium
Lineage: Bacteria
Description: partial 16S ribosomal RNA
Rfam family: Bacterial small subunit ribosomal RNA
Source: RNAcentral